AUUGAACGCUGGCGGCAUGCCUUACACAUGCAAGUCGAACGGUAACGGGCCUUCGGGUGCCGGCGAGUGGCGGGCGGGGGCGUAAUACAUAGGAACGUGCCCGAUCGUGGGGGAUAACGAGGCGAAAGCUGUGCUAAUACCGCAUACGAUCUACGGAUGAGAGCAGGAGACCGCAAGGCCUUGCGCGGACGGAGCGGCCGAUGGCAGAUUGGGUAGUUGGUGGGGUAAAAGCUUACCAAGCCGACGAUCUGUAGCUGGACUGAGAGGAUGAUCAGCCACACUGGAACUGAGACACGGCCCAGACUCCUACGGGAGGCAGCAGUGGGGAAUUUUCGACAAUGGGCGCAAGCCUGAUCCAGCCAUGCCGCGUGCAUGAUGAAGGCCUUCGGGUUGUAAACUGCUUUUGUACGGAACGAAAAGCCUUCUUUUAAUACAGGAGGGUCAUGACGGUACCGUAAGAAUAAGCACCGGCUAACUACGUG
This 482-nucleotide ribosomal RNA is filed under the name uncultured bacterium. RNAcentral describes it as "partial 16S ribosomal RNA". It matches the Rfam family "Bacterial small subunit ribosomal RNA", at positions 30 to 507 of the family's 1533-position model. The record is from RNAcentral.